GCCGGAGGGAGUUCAGCUGGCCGGGCGGGGAAGCAGGGCGUGAGGCAGCCGGCCAGGUGCCAUAGCAACGCAGCUCAAGCUCCGGGAUGGAACUAGCCAUAUCCCUCAGCAGGGAGACAAGCAGGCACAGCUGGGUUUGUGGAACUGGUUCACACCUUGUUGCGCCACAGGCAGAUGAAUGGCUAACCCCGAUGUAAGGUCAACUCUAAAAAUAAGAAGAGCAGCUUGGUGUGGGCAUUUCUGCAACACACACAACAAGUGUUGCUGGCUGGGUAGGAGCCACAAGUGGCGGAGAAUGUGCUAGAUGUCCUGGUGUGUUCCUGAUGCUGGGGAGAACAGCCAGAGAGCCAAACCCCUGUGGAAGCCAAGCACUCGUUUCCAAUAGCACACUGUGCCACUUGGGCCUUUGUUGGGAUGUGCUUGGACCUGGCGGUGCCUCUCAGUUCAGGGACUAUCUGUGGCCCAGUCAGGAGUCGGAGUCUGUGGAGCAGUUCAGGGCACGCGCAGCUGGUGCUGUGCAUCAGAAGAACAACUUCCACAACAACCGGGGGAAAGAGGAUUGGCAAGCCAAGCACAUUUUGCAGGGCCAUCCUGGGGAAUGUGAUUGAAGGGUCACAAGAAACAUACUGAUAUUGAAUGAAUGAGUUCAGUUCCUGAAAAUUCGGUACUGGACUUCAGAGAUUUCACAUAUCGCCAGAGUGGUGUGCCCCAAUAACUUCCUCGCGGGUGCAUCCGUCACCAUUUGCAGCUUCCAGCUAUAGAGAGGAAGAGGCUCUACUGCAGCGGCUCAAAUCAGGUGCAAUGGAGGCAGAGCUCCACUUUCUCCAGGAAGGGGCAUCAUUCAAUAACCACCCAAAGCUGUGCAAAAAUGCUCCUAGUCUUAGUCACCCACUGAAUUUUCCUGGAGCUAUCAAAGCUUGUGAAAUAACAACCAACAUCAACAAUGAAUAAUGCUUGCAAAGCUAAGCUUGCAAAACCACCAUCAUCUCAAGACUGUUUACAGCAGCUGAAUCACCUGAACUUGCCAGCAAUAAAAUUAAUGGCAGGCUGCAGCUUUAGUCUGGUUAUUUGCUCAGGGAAUCCUCUCCUCUUCCUGUAACAAAUGAACUCACAAGCAGCAGGUGGGUAGCAGAGCUUUGUCUUGAUGGCAUCACUUCAGAUUGCAGCUGGGAGCAAGUGAAGGCCACAUAAGGGGGGCAGCUCCCUACCCUGAAAAAUAUACCCCAGCUUUUCAGAAGGAAAGGGGGUUGAAAACGCCUUUUUGCUUGGUAUGCAGGUUUUGGGGGUGUAUUUUUUGAAAACACAUCUUUAAACACAUCUUUCAGUCAUGUGGAUUCAUCCCCUCCCUGCAGGCACACACACUUGCUCCCCUUUCCCUGCCAACCUCUGUCCCGAAUGGCUGCCCUGAGGGCCCAAGUUCAGGCCCUUGAAAUCUCAGCUUCUGAAAUGCUCUUGCCUGGCAACCCUAACAUACCCACAGUGCUGUGAAGUGAUGCAGCCCCAGUUCGACAGGUUUCUUCAUCAUUUGUGAGAAUUAAGACGGAGACAGAGAACACUGUGAAUGUUUCUGGACUCCCCCUCCCAUCAGUGCCAGGAUGAUGGGAGUUGUAGUUCAGCAACAUCCCGAGGACCACAAGUUCCAUGGUCCCUGCAUCCAGACUCCCUUCCAACAGGAAGUCAGCCUGGUUGAGACUGAAUCAGCAGCAUUCAAAGCUGCAGAGGGUGGCAGAAAGCACACUGACGACCGAGGAGUAGAGGGUGCCCAAGAGCAAGCAGGGCAUCUUGGGAAAAGCAGACAAAGGUUUCUUGUGUGGGUGAUGCAAUGCCCAGAGGACGCGUUGCCUCCUCUGGCUGGAAGCUUCCGACCCAGCUGCCCCACCUGCUCUGCAGAGAGCAUUGCCUUGAUGUGGGGAAACAUCCGAGAAGACAGGCUGUGAGGCAGAGAUGCUAAUCUCAGCUGUUGAGCUGGUGUACCUGGGAGAGUUGAAAGCUAGUGGUGCUUCAGAGCGGGGUAAAAAGCAGCAGCAGCACCCACGAUCUUCUAGCCCCACUGGUUGUGGGAGGAGGCUUGGUUGCUCCUGGUUCAUGUGUGGGGUUCUGUGCAAAGUGGGGUGACUCACUCACACUGCAUAUUUUCUUUCUUUCUUUUUUAAGGGAAAAAUGCGGGGAAGGGUCGGAGGCAAAUCCCUGCAGGAAGAGCGGUCUAGAGAGAGUUGUUAGCCAUAGUGGCUGAAAGGAACUUUCACAAACAGCAGCAGUAUAUCGCUUCAGCAUUGGUUUUUUGUUUUUGUAGAAAAAGGAGGUGCCAGUAACCCAAAGCCUGCUCACAGAGCUACAAUUCCCAGCACCCUUAAACUACAGUUCCCAGGAUUCUUUGGUGGAAGUCAUGUGCUUUAAAUGUGUGUAGGAUGUGCUUCAAAUGUACAGUGUGGAUCUGCCCUGAGAGAGAGAGAGAAACUGGGUCAGCACCCCCAGGUGUUUAGAGUCUGGUGUGCAAUACCCUUUUGCAUAUGUCAUUUCAUAGGUCAGGAGUGGAGAGUCACAUACCCUCCUGGGCCAGCUCCCAGGGGCCACAUCCCAGUGCGGGUGGACGCAGAUGCAAAAGCAGGCACAGCAGUGCACAUGAGCUCCCAGAGAGCCCCAGGGACCAAACAAGGGGGGGCAUUUGGCCUGAGGGCCAGAGGUUCUGCAGCUACCAGAGCAGAUACCCACCUUGUUCCCAAACUGUUCUUAAUCAGGGUGAUUGUGCAGCGGUUUGUCUGCACCUCAUGAACCUCCUUUUGUUAUACAUGAAGGAAGAUUUACAUGCUGGCUCUCUGCUUCUGCUCUCUACCUCAUUCACAGCUAAUCUCUUCCCCAACUAGAGGCCUUCCUGUGCCUGCACACCCAAAGCAGUAAGCGGCCUCCCAGGUGAACUUGUUUGCCCUUCCAACCCACUGUUGUUGGCUCAGGCUGGCAGCCGCUCUCCAGGGUUUUAGGCGAGAGAUCUUAUUUCCCAUCUGCUGCUACCUAUUUCUUGUUUUUCCAAAACUGGCGAUGCCAGGUAUUGAACUCGGCACCUUUUGCACGCAAAGCCAUGUUCCACUUAAGAGGGUUUGCCAGUUCUCAGAUUUCACAUUUAAAAGGCUGAUGGGAACAUUUGAAAGGUGACCUCUGGAGGUCCUUGGGCCUGGGCUGGAUGUAAGCAGGUCUCUCUCCGUGUCUGCUUAUAAGUCUUUCAUUUGCAAGAGCCACAGGGUUUGUAGCUAGGGAAGCAGCCAAGAGCUUGAAUCAUCUUCAGACAACGGUGAGCGGAUUAGAAUCUUGCAAUGCUCACAUAGGAAAUUGCUCCUUUCAUUUAACUUGGCAUGACUGCCACCUGAAGGCAGCUUUAUGUAACUGCAGCAACUCUGCGUACGCGUUACUGAAAUGAAAUAAUAGUGUUGUGACUUUGGAGGCAGGGGUCAGUCUGCACCAGUGGUUCUCAAUUAGCUAAAAACUGAGGACCCCCUGUUUUUCAAAAGCCAAGCCAUGGACCCCCUACAUUUGAAAAUGUUGAGUAUCUCUAUGUUAGUUUUUGUUAUGUGAAUGGUACUACAGUGGGUUGCAUGAACCCCAAUUGGGAACCACUGCUCUGCACAAUGCCCUUCCAGUUAUUGGGGUCCUUUAUCUGUGGGGAUUGGAGGUAGGGGAGCAAGGGUGCCAAUCCUGUCCCUCAAGCACCACAAUGAGCACGGUCAAAGAAGUUGAUCUGUGCCAAGGGGGGAAAUGGGUGGGCUUUUGCCCUCACCAGCUGAGAGCUAAACUGAAAGCAGGCUGAGGAGCUGGACCCAGAGACAUGCUUGAUUUGUGAUGGAAUCCAAGGCUGUGACCAAGAUCUGUUAGGGUGUUAAUGCUGUGAGCCCCUCCACCGUAGGCUCGGGUUCUAUAUAGAUGUAAAUAAAUCAUAUAUCUUAAAGACACCACAACCUUCACCUCAUUCCAAGGAUACCAAACCCUGUGUGAGCACCCAGAACCCCAGGCGUCUCUCACUGCUCAGAGACUGGUAUACAGUGGUACCUCGGGUUACAUACCCUUCAGGUUACAGACUCCGCUAACCCAGAAAUAUUACCUCAGGUUAAGAACUUUGCUUCAGGAUGAGAACAGAAAUCACGCAGCAGUGGUGCAGCAGCAGCAGGAGGCCCCAUUAGCUAAAGUGGUGCUUCAGGUUAAGAACAGUUUCAGAUUAAGUACGGACCUCCGGAAUGAAUUAAGUACUUAACCCGAGGUACCACUGUAUAACAAUAGUUUAUUUUGGGAAGAAGGUUUAAGGCAGCGGUCGGCGGGGUCACUGCUACUGGCCUUACAUGCAAACCCCUGGAAAGAGAUCGUGUGAAACAUUAAUUAUAGGAAGAGAAACUUAACCAGCAACUUUCAGAAUGGCAAGUUUUAGGAUUUCUGCUGCAGCUUGCUUUCUCCUCCUCCUCCUCCUCCAUAUUCCGUAUUUCCUGUUGUCACAUCUUUGUAGGCUGUGUGACCCAUCUUAAGAAUGAUUCUUGUAAAGCUGCUUUGAGUGUCUUUUUUGGCUAUGAAUCCUGCAAUAAAUAAAAUAAAUAAAUAAUAAAACAAAAGAACCAAAAGAAAUAAUAAAAUAAAUAAUAAAAUAAAAA
Podarcis raffonei (Aeolian wall lizard) is the source of this 4628-nucleotide long non-coding RNA. RefSeq lists it as uncharacterized. The transcript is spliced from 3 exons. Lineage: Eukaryota; Metazoa; Chordata; Lepidosauria; Squamata; Lacertidae. The record is from RefSeq and is a predicted model, not a curated record.